CAAAUUUAAAGUCAAAUAUUAUUAGAAGAGUAAAUCUUUAAUUUAAAGUUCCAUCUAUUUAUGGGUAUGUGUGGAACCGGUUUUGUUUGGUCAAAAUAAACAUCAUAGAUUUUGAAGUGCAUAUGAAAAUUUCUAGAACCCACGUCACUUAUUAAGGUUGAAAUAUGCUUGGCUUGGUAUUUUGAGAACUAUAAAAGAGUCUCGCCCAAGGAUCUUGAAGGAGAAUUAAUAUUACUCAUUGAACUUAUGGGAAAUUAUGGUACAAUCAGUGACCCAAAUUAAUUUCAUAGAUGUGGUUUGAAUCAAUGGAUUCUGAUCGUCAAAGAAAGUCUUCGGAAAGCUUAGUUCAUUCUCGAUNNN
RNAcentral lists this long non-coding RNA (360 nucleotides) under Cicer arietinum (chickpea). Its description in RNAcentral is "long non-coding RNA (CARI_LNC002551)". The record is from RNAcentral. Lineage: Eukaryota; Viridiplantae; Streptophyta; Magnoliopsida; Fabales; Fabaceae.